CGGUGUUUAACUGGCGUGAUGUGGGACGUCCUACCGGUGGGCUUAGCCUCGCGAGGGGCGGCCCAACUAAUAUCCCGUCGCGGUGCUCUUUACUGAGUGUCGAGUCGGGCCGGUACGUUUACUUUGAACAAAUUAGAGUGCUUAAAGCAGGGCUAUCCUCGCCUGAAUACUGCGUGCAUGGAAUAAUGGAAUAGGACCUCGGUUCUAUUUUGUUGGUUUUCGGAACCCCGAGGUAAUGAUUAAUAGGGACAGAUGGGGGCAUUCGUAUUGCGACGUUAGAGGUGAAAUUCUUGGAUCGUCGCAAGACGGACAGAAGCGAAAGCAUUUGCCAAAAAUGUUUUCAUUAAUCAAGAACGAAAGUUAGAGGUUCGAAGGCGAUCAGAUACCGCCCUAGUUCUAACCAUAAACGAUGCCAGCUAGCGAUCCGCCGAAGUUCCUCCGAUGACUCGGCGGGCAGCUUCCGGGAAACCAAAGCUUUUGGGUUCCGGGGGAAGUAUGGCUGCAAAGCUGAAACUUAAAGGAAUUGACGGAAGGGCACCACCAGGAGUGGAGCCUGCGGCUUAAUUUGACUCAACACGGGAAACCUCACCAGGCCCAGACACCGGAAGGAUUGACAGAUUGAUAGCUCUUUCUUGAUUCGGUGGGUGGUGGUGCAUGGCCGUUCUUAGUUGGUGGAGCGAUUUGUCUGGUUAAUUCCGAUAACGAACGAGACUCUAGCCUGCUAAAUAGGCGUACCUUAUGGUAUCGCGAAGGCCCCCGGCUUCGGCCGGUGGGUUUUUACUACCAACGUACAAACAAAUCUUCUUAGAGGGACAGGCGG
Molecule: ribosomal RNA, 820 nt
Filed under: uncultured eukaryote
Lineage: Eukaryota
Description: SSU rRNA
Rfam family: Eukaryotic small subunit ribosomal RNA
Source: RNAcentral